This 253-nucleotide ribosomal RNA is filed under the name uncultured bacterium. Its description in RNAcentral is "partial 16S ribosomal RNA". It matches the Rfam family "Bacterial small subunit ribosomal RNA", at positions 524 to 776 of the family's 1533-position model. The record is from RNAcentral.
UACGAGGGGGGCAAGCGUUGUUCGGAAUUAUUGGGCGUAAAGGGUGCGUAGGCGGUUUGGUAAGUCUUAUGUGAAAUCUACAGGCUCAACUUGUAGUCUGCAUGAGAAACUGCCGGGCUUGAGUAUGGGAGAGGUGAGUGGAAUUCCUGGUGUAGCGGUGAAAUGCGUAGAUAUCAGGAGGAACACCAGUGGCGAAGGCGGCCAUCUGGAUCAACACUGACGCUGAGGCACGAAAGCGUGGGGAGCAAACAGG